CACUCGACUCUGUGUCAGCUCUGUCUGGAGGAACAGGGCACUUCCAGUAAUGGUGUACAGCAGUCUGGAGGUCUGCCAUGAAGAUCUGUGUCAGGAAAAACUCUUCAUGCAUACCUAAGUUAGAGGGGCUUUUUUAAAUUCAGUUUUCAACUUGGGGUUUUAAAAGAAAAGCUGCAUCUUUGCCCGCUGUUUUACAACAGAACAGUGCUGGGAAAAGUCUAACCUACAAUAUUUUUCUUGCACAUCCAUGGAAAACAUUACUGAAGGUGUAGAUGAUCUAUUAAAGAAUACAAGUGCUCAUUCAUUGCAGUGGAGUAGAAGAUUGGAACUCUGUAGCAUCUAGCAGGAGCUCCUGAUAAGCCUUGACUGAACCAACUGAGCAGUGAUGUGAAGCAUCCCCCGACUAUAGCAGGAGUUCUUGCAUGCAAAGAUAUAAGAAUGUCUCAGACUGGAAAUGGAACAUCACCUGCCCAGCCAAGGAUCCAGAGUGGAGAGAGAGAAUCAAGAGACAUCCUAGGGACCACACAGGCCUGGUGCCCUGCAUGGCUCAAAAACAUGUGCCCAUUCACUCAAUUUUCCUCCUGAACCAUGUUGAUCUUCCUGAACAAUGUCUUCUGGAAGUGUGCAAGAGGCAUCUGGAUGUG
This is a long non-coding RNA of Zonotrichia leucophrys gambelii, 644 nucleotides long. RefSeq lists it as uncharacterized. The transcript has 4 exons. The record is from RefSeq and is a predicted model, not a curated record. NCBI's taxonomy places the organism in Eukaryota, Metazoa, Chordata, Aves, Passeriformes, Passerellidae.